RNAcentral lists this long non-coding RNA (1245 nucleotides) under Octopus vulgaris (common octopus). Lineage: Eukaryota; Metazoa; Mollusca; Cephalopoda; Octopoda; Octopodidae. The record is from RNAcentral.
GAGAGAUUGGGUAUGAGGAGAGUGAACGUGGAAAGAGGCGCCCAAGUAGCUUGUUAAACUCGUUGAGCGCUGUUUCUGGCCCGUUGCUUCCCCCGAUCACCUCACGGGGGCUUAACGAGGAAGGGAAAAAAAACAACAACAAAAAAAACAAAAAAAAAAGAAACCCUUUAUUUAUAUAAUAUAUAAAAAAAUUAUAUAUAUAAAGUAGUUUUUUUUUUUCUUUUAUUCUGAUCGGGCAACGGCCAGGUUAGAGACAGUUUAUAUUAUAAUUAUAAUUUUUCUGUUCAUUAUUAAUUAAUAUUACUAUUAUUUAUUAACCAUCUUUAAUUAUAAGCCCUAAACACACACACACACACUCAAAAUGGUUUAAAUAUAUAUACAUAUAUAUAUACAUAUAUAUAUAUAUUUGUAUUAAGAUCGCCUUCUUCCUCAAGUGUUUUGGAUUAUUAUAAUUUAUAUUACAUUGCGCUUUACAGCACGUUAUACAUACGUGUCUGCGCGUGUCGCUAUAUAUAUAUAUAUAUAUAUAUAUAUAGGGGAUAUUUUCGAAGAUCAAAACCUCUAUCCCCGUUCUUUGUUACCUUUCAAGGUCCCACAACAUAUUUACAUACAUACAUACAUAUAUAUUUCUAUUCACACUCACACAUACCCAAAUAUAUACACACAAUUUUUUUUUAUUGAUCUGUAAACCAAAAAAAAAAAAAAGAAAAAAGGAAAGAGAGAAAAAAAAUAAGGAAUCUUCUGCCCCUUUUUUUUUGUUUGUUUGCAUUUUUUUUUUUUUUUUUUUUUGGUCGUUGGGGUACCCCUACCCUCGGGUUGGCGGUGUCUCGUCUUAUCAUCCUGUGUCGAUUUGCGCUUAGCGUUUAAUUCUUGUAUGACGGAUCUUUAAUUCUGCAAAACAGCCCCACAGAAAAUUAAAAGGGAUUACACACACACUUAUACACAUAUAUAUACACAAAAGCAGUCGCUCAUAUAUAUAUAUAUAUAUAUAUAUAUAAAUAUAAAUAUAUAGCCUGCUACACGUCAAGAAAAUUUUACAAAUCUCUUUUGAAAGAAAACAAAAAAAAAAAAAAAAAAGGAGGAAAACAUGAACCAACCGCUAUCAGCAUGGAGCUUACCACUACUACUACGACUAUUGCUACUACUAGUAUUAAGUAUUUCUAGUACUUAGCAAUUUGUACUAUUAUUAUUUCUACAAACUACUUUCGUCUUCGUCUUUUUUUAAUAUUUACCAAUUUCAGGUAA